This 76-nucleotide transfer RNA is filed under the name Desulfovibrio sp. An276. RNAcentral's name for it is "tRNA-Glu". It matches the Rfam family "tRNA". Rfam says of the family: Transfer RNA (tRNA) molecules are approximately 80 nucleotides in length. Their secondary structure includes four short double-helical elements and three loops (D, anti-codon, and T loops). Further hydrogen bonds mediate the characteristic L-shaped molecular structure. tRNAs have two regions of fundamental functional importance: the anti-codon, which is responsible for specific mRNA codon recognition, and the 3' end, to which the tRNAs corresponding amino acid is attached (by aminoacyl-tRNA synthetases). tRNAs cope with the degeneracy of the genetic code in two manners: having more than one tRNA (with a specific anti-codon) for a particular amino acid; and 'wobble' base-pairing, i.e. permitting non-standard base-pairing at the 3rd anti-codon position. The record is from RNAcentral. RNAcentral also lists the same sequence under 3 other names. Lineage: Bacteria; Pseudomonadati; Thermodesulfobacteriota; Desulfovibrionia; Desulfovibrionales; Desulfovibrionaceae.
GUCUCCAUCGUCUAUCCGGUUAGGACAGCGGCCUCUCACGUCGCUAAGAGCGGUUCAAAUCCGCUUGGAGACGCCA